CUCCCGGCUCGGGCAGCCGCCGUACGUGCCCGCGGGCCCGGCCUGACAUCCUGCAGCGCUUCUCCCGAGAGCUCGGCGCCGCGGCUUCUAGUCCCGGCCGACCGCGGCGCUCCCAGGAGCCGGGCGUCCAGCGUGGCUCGGACGCGGGCCCGGGCCGCGGGGUCGAGGCGCCCUCAGCUGGGUCAGUAAUGGGACGCAGCCCAGCGCUCCAGUCUUUCUGCGUAGGCCACCUACUCCCCCGGGAUCCGAGCAGCUCCCAGCGGACACCGAAAACCCCGGGGACGCCUGGCCCGAGCACUCCUGGCCGCUCGAGAUGUGGCUAACAGCUGGGUCGCCCAGCAGGAGGCUCUGCGCGCGGGGACAUUUCAGGCCCGGGGCCCCGCCGGGAGCGCGCCACAAGGAGCGGCAGGGGGCCGGUCUGCUGCCCGCUUGGCACGCUCCCUACUCUCACCCCGCCUUUGCUAACUUGCUCUGUGGCAUUGAAACCACAGGUGCCGGACGGUGGGCACAGAGAAAGCCAGGCAUGCCCCUUCUUCCCACCCUCCGGACGCCCACCCAGACACCGCCUUCCCCGCCCCCCGCGGCGUCCCCGUCCGCCCCUCAGCGCGCUGAGCUCCCCCCCGCCGCUUGCGUCCUGCUCCGAUUACAGCAGUAAACACUGGGCAGCGGCCCCCGCGUGGAAGGGGGUUGUUUGGAAGUCUUUUAAAGACAGUGUCACCCUCAGGGUAAAUGCCCAGAAGCCGGGCCGCGCAUCCUUGGGCUGGGAAGUGUGGGAACGCCCGAGACCAAGCGAGGUUCAGGCCGGAGUUUGGCUGCGAGUCAGGCUCAGGGUAUCGGGAGAAGAAGCCGUCAGACUCGGCAGGGCUUAAACCUUCUAGAAAGCAUAUAUAUCCACUCCUUCUGCAGGAGCGGGGAGUGCCACCCGGGCGGUGGCCCGGCGGCGAGGCUGCUCCCUGCGCCGCGCUGGCCAGCGCCGCGGCCCCAGGCUGACCGCUGCGGACAUUUCCUGUCCCGCCGCCCAAAUCUCGCGCUCCCGAGGUAACCAGAGAGGGAAAGGAGGGUCCAGAGGCUGCAGAGGUGUGAAGGGACGGCCUGAGGCCAGCGCCUCGGGCGUGUUCGCCUGGCUGGCCUGGAGAACUGCUUUUAUUUAUAAGUCUCUAGGAGUUGAAAUAAAAUUAAACGAAGAGAAAAUAAUUAAUUUUCAGAAUUAUGUUCUGAAAUGAAAUCAACAAAAACGCGGGAAGGAUCCUCUAGCUCACUAUGGCUGGCAGAACCCGGGCUGUCUUGCGCCGGCUCAGGCAGCCUCUCCCGGCUUAAGCGAGUCUCUGCAGGUUGGCGCUGGCCGCAGCCCCUUGCGUAAGAGGCCCUGUGCCCUUCCUCCGUCCCACUCUUCCCUGUCAUGGGGGUGGGGGUGGGGGUGCAAGAAUGAGGGAGGCUGUGGCCUCUUGUCUGAAAGCAAGGCAGUUUGCCUGGAAGGUGGAGAUUCUCACCUUCCCUGAAAGGAGGAAAUGUUCCCAUUUCCACACCCCUCUCUGUGCAUAAAAGGGGGCGGAGGGCACUAGCCAAACUGGCCCCCUAGGCCUAAAGGGACCUGAGACAGAGACGCAGAGAGAAAAGAGAACAUCUCUGGCGGAAAGGCUGCCCUGCUACGUUGAAUCCAUUAAAAAAUGCUAGUGCAAUUUUUAUAUUGCACACUUGUUUGCUUUAUUCAUCAAUUUUUAUGGAGAUGGGAAGCGAGCGCGAGAGGAGAGUAUUUGGAAAGGCUUACUCCAAAAAUAUUUCCGAAGGAAAAUGUUUUCUUGGAGAUUGGUUGUGAGAAUAGCAAACCUGCACAUGCAGAGACCUCACUUCCCUUCCUUCUUUCAGGCCAUCAGACUUCCAAGUCUUCCUCCUUUCCCACUGUCUUACCCCAUCCCCAGUCCUCCCUCCCUCUCCUCUUUGACCCAUUCUCUCUUUCGCUUUGAUUUCGCCUUUGCUGCUCCCGCGUUUGGGGAUCGCGCGGCUGGGUGCUCGCUCGCGCCGCAUUCCGGGGGCCGCGCGCGGCCGGGCGGUGGGGCGGACGCCUUAAUUCCCGCCGGAGACCCUGCGGGUUGGGCCCUCCUGGCUAUUCUUUCCCGGCUCCAGUUCUCCUCUCUCUGCAGGGCACAGAAGAGCUGAGCCAAGUUCAAAGUCACGUCGCCGUCCCUUCUCAGAAGUGCUUUAUUUCUCUACAAACCGCAAACCCCUUUACUUCAUGACACUUUUUUUUUUUUUUUUAAAGGAAGGAAAGUGAAGAGAGAGCGAGAGAGAGCAAGGGGGGAAAAAGAAAGCAUGCAAAGGCUUUCAGAGUUACUGCCUCAAAAGUAGACUCGGGUUCCUUGGCUGAAGGAAAAAAGCAGCCAAGCGGCACAUUGUGAGUGAAUUCAGUUUUUCAACAGGUUUCUGGAAGGGCCCGUCUGUGGCAGUGUCAGGCCCGCAGGACCCACAACUGUCUCCAUCCGGCAAACAUGUCCCCUCUUUGUAAGUUUCCCAAAACUAUGCUUCCGAAAUCUUGCGGAGGCUGCGCGCGGCUGGGCCACAGGCCGGGGCUUGAGCGGAUCCCGCUCCAGGCCGCGCGGGCCGGUGUUCAUUUCUUUGCAAGUAGAGGGAAUGGCAGCGCGAUGGAGAAUUGGGGUUGUCUUCAAAAACCAGAAAAUCCCGCCAACACCCGAGCCCCCAUCAACCAAAGCACCUCGUUGCCGUUUGUGGGCAUCUGUGAACAGUGUUGACUGAGUUCUUUUGUGGUAUAGGAUGUGUUUUGUUUACCUAUGCAUAAAUAUAGCGUGUAUGCACACACUAUACCCUCACACACACACACAUAGGUAUACAUUGCUGGACAGGAGAAGCCAAAGAACAGGCAAACAAAAUUGACCUUUACAUUGAAAAGCAGAAGCUCUCGGUUGCCACACCACUCAAACUUUUAAUUUUCCUCUUAAGGAAGAAGGUGGAAAUGGGGGUAGUGGGAAAGAGUUGAGAGAAUAAAUGAGAGAAACAAGCGACAAAAAAAGGGGGGGAUUUCAUAGGAUUCCAGCACCAUCAUCUGUAUCACAGACUCAUAAAUUCAACAAGAUCAUCAACAGGAUAUUAAGUUGCAGGGCACCUUUGAUUCCGCCUUCUCAGCUACUCCUGGGCUGGGUGACCCCUGACCCAUGAAGGACCACAUGUGUGGUGCGGGAGCCCCUUCUAUAAAACCCACCUAGAACAAAAGUUCUUUGUUAGUGCUUUAGAGAAGUGUAAUGUAAAAGAAGGGGAAAUUGUGAAAAUCUCAGCCAAUGUUGUAACUUUUAAAUACCAUUUUUAAGAAGUGGGGGUGCUGAAUGAGGUUGUGAUAGGAUAAGGCCCUCUCUAGUUUGCUAAAAGAAUGUCUUUUCUUCCUACAGUUAAAAUUUACUGUCCUGUAACUGGGCUUAUAAAAAGUCUCCAUAUAAAAUAUGUGCUCACCAGCAGUUUAGUGAUAGGGGUGCAAAUAUUUGUGUAUUUGUCAAAAGGGACUCAGAAAAAAUAGAAGCUAUUAACCACCCUGGACCUUACCCCUGCAUUGGUGAUAGUCAGUGGUUGUGGUUUUCCAAAAGGAAGAGAAUUAAUUGUCCUUACUUGUCUUCUCUUUCCUGAUGGGAGUGAUUCUACUGCUGAAAAACAAACAAAACCAAACAAAAAAUAGGAGGCAUUAGCUAAUGUGAAUGUGUUUAAUGUUAUUCUGAAGACCUAUCCUUUGGGCUCCCAGGCGAACUAUAUCCAGAGAGAUUGAAUACAGAUGACAGGCGAGCAGCUUUCCAAUAAACUGUAGUAUUAUUGCAAUAGACUUUGUAAUACAAUUUAUGCUGUCAUUCAUAAAUAACAAUGCCAUAUGUCAACCAUAUUGCUUACACAAGUAAAUCCAUCAACGUGUCACUAUUUGAUUUAUCUCAACAGCUUCUUCAAAUAUUGAAGUAUAGAUAUUGGAAGGGGUGUGGAGUGAGAGGAACUACCCAAGAAAUUUGAGAUUUUAUUUUUAACUGCACAACCUCUACUUCUUCAUUUCCCAUCCAAAAACAUCCUAAAGGGAUUGAACCCAAAGCUGCCAUUACUACAAGAAUUAAUGCUUAUUGCCAAGAAAUUCAAAUAAUGGAAACUCAUUGGAAAGGUUCGGAGAGGAAACGAAGACAGUGAUAAUUCCAAAUAUGAUGUUUUCUUCAUAUACUAUCCAUGGAGAUGGCACAGUUCUCUAUCAACCUCUGCCUGGUUGGCUUGAAAUGUUUUAAGUCUUUGAUAUAAAAAUUGUGAAAGGACUGGUCCUUUCCAAAGAGAGAUGAUUCUGUUACCGCUGUUUAUUAAAUGUUUUUCGUUUUAUUUCCACACACGCCUUUAAUUCCCCAUAUUUGAACUUCAUCGAAGCUUAAAAGUCCAUUUAAAAUUU
Macaca mulatta (Rhesus monkey) is the source of this 4414-nucleotide non-coding RNA. Lineage: Eukaryota; Metazoa; Chordata; Mammalia; Primates; Cercopithecidae. The record is from RefSeq and is a predicted model, not a curated record.